CUUAGUAUGGAAACUUACUAAGUGAUAACUUUCAAAAAUCCGUCGACUUUAUAAAUCGUGAGGGUUCAAGUCCCUCUAUCCCCA
RNAcentral lists this transfer RNA (84 nucleotides) under Persicaria glabra. RNAcentral describes it as "partial tRNA-Leu". Lineage: Eukaryota; Viridiplantae; Streptophyta; Magnoliopsida; Caryophyllales; Polygonaceae. The record is from RNAcentral.